This 195-nucleotide unclassified non-coding RNA is filed under the name uncultured Tetragoniomyces. RNAcentral's name for it is "sequence contains ITS2". Lineage: Eukaryota; Fungi; Basidiomycota; Tremellomycetes; Tremellales; Tremellaceae. The record is from RNAcentral.
AAUCUCAACCCCACCCCUGGGUUUCUGAUCUGGGGGUGGACGUGGACUUGGGCGUCUGCCGUCGCUUGACUGGCUCGUCUCAAAAGACUUGGUGGGAUUAGCAUCCUCGGCCUGACGUAAUAAGUUUCGUUGGGCUAGGUGCGAGGCCUGCUCAUAUAACCCCCCUCGCCUGCUCUGGGCAUUAACACUUUUUGA